CCUUUAGGUCUGACACAACCUACCGAAAGGUAGGCUAAUAUCAGAUGAUGCAGCGGCUCGACAUCGAGACAGUUGUUAAAUCUUCGGAGCCUAAAGAUGAGCCUGCGUCUGAUUAGGUAGUUGGCGGGGUAAAAGCCCACCAAGCCUGCGAUCAGUAGCUGGUCUGAGAGGAUGAUCAGCCACACUGGAACUGAGACACGGUCCAG
Molecule: ribosomal RNA, 206 nt
Filed under: uncultured bacterium
Lineage: Bacteria
Description: partial 16S ribosomal RNA
Rfam family: Bacterial small subunit ribosomal RNA
Source: RNAcentral